AAAUAUCUCAACCUAAAGUUGACCCUGUAAUCCUUCACCUUCGUCCAACGUUUCAUAGCCUCUCAUCUCUCAAAGACCCUAUAUGAGACACCUUUUCUUUGAAGGCAACAAUAUACAAGAAUCUACUCUCCUCAUCUGCACACUGCCAUAAACACUCUUACCUACACCACCUCUACCGACGACCUUCACCAUUGCUCCACCCGAAGACCAUCGGACGCUGAGAAAUUGACCCCGGCCACGUCGCUGCCCUCUACCUACCCAGCACAUCCAACGCCGCCCUCCCCCCGACGCUUCCCAUUAUCUGAUUUUGUUCUCGCCAAAAUAUGCUCGCUUUAGAUAUGGUAGGUUCUUGGAAAUCAUUAGUACUACUCCUAGCUGUUGAACAUAAAGAUGUGUGCACCCCUAGAGAUAAAGUCCAGUGUCUAGAUUGGAGGACCAAAUAUUGCUUCACUACCUACCUUCCAACAGGUACAUUUAAAAACAAUUUUUUAUUGUUACUGGUGAAAUUUUCCUUAACUGAGUUGGUUUGUAUGAGUGUCCAAAAUCAGUUAUCUGAAAGUUUCAGAUUUCAAGGCACCUGGUAGCUUUGUUGUGGGAUUUCGAUUGACUUUUUUUUGCCAAAACCCAGAUUAUUGUAAUAGUCUUUUUUGCUGUUCAGGGUUAUAAGGAAGAGGCAGGGGAGCUGGUUGAGCAUAUGAAAACUUUUUUUAAUGAUUAUUUUAAACUUAUUUGCUUUGUCAUAUGGUUUUAAAAUAAUUUACAGAAAAUGCUUAUGGCAUGACUGAAAAUGUGAUUCAAUAUAACAAUAAGUUAUUGAUUGAACAUAAUAAAGUUCCUACAGAUCGUUUGAUACACAAUGCAUCAAAAAUCCUCCUUUGGACGCACAUUUACUGAUUAAAUAUAGCACAUAGCAGUAGCUGCAUGAUGUUCAAGUUGAUAGUGAUGUGUGGCUACUGCCUAAUUCAUGGUUUGUAUUCAAAAAAUGAAAAUGGCGGGUCAAAGUGCUUCCACUACCCCUGGAUCCAAGCUUAUGACACAAAUGAUUAUAUUACUUGGAAAUAUUAGAAGAAGCUUGGCCGGAAUAUAUUAAAGAGUUUAUGUCAUUUAGUAGUAAUUAACCAAUGUUAAAAUUUAUUACUUAUAAUCAUCGUUAGCUAAAAGCAAAUGUUCAAUUUAAUAUUAAUAACUAAUGUAAUCUAUGAGGACACCGUACAUUCCCAUGUAUUUUUCCCUUUAUUUGUAAUACAAAUCUUGCUGAGUGGGUUCUUAUGUUUAACUAUAUAUGUC
Non-coding RNA from Lactuca sativa (garden lettuce), 1287 nucleotides. NCBI's taxonomy places the organism in Eukaryota, Viridiplantae, Streptophyta, Magnoliopsida, Asterales, Asteraceae. The record is from RefSeq and is a predicted model, not a curated record.